AUUGAACGCUGGCGGCAUGCCUUACACAUGCAAGUCGAACGGCAGCGGACCUUCGGGUGCCGGCGAGUGGCGAACGGGUGAGUAAUAUAUCGGAACGUACCUUUCAGUGGGGGAUAACGUAGCGAAAGUUACGCUAAUACCGCAUAUUCUGUGAGCAGGAAAGCAGGGGAUCGCAAGACCUUGCGCUGAUUGAGCGGCCGAUAUCAGAUUAGCUAGUUGGUGAGGUAAAGGCUCACCAAGGCGACGAUCUGUAGCGGGUCUGAGAGGAUGAUCCGCCACACUGGAACUGAGACACGGUCCAGACUCCUACGGGAGGCAGCAGUGGGGAAUUUUGGACAAUGGGCGCAAGCCUGAUCCAGCCAUGCCGCGUGAGUGAAGAAAGGCCUCGUUGUAAGUACGUAC
This 402-nucleotide ribosomal RNA is filed under the name uncultured bacterium. RNAcentral describes it as "bacterial SSU rRNA". It matches the Rfam family "Bacterial small subunit ribosomal RNA", at positions 30 to 437 of the family's 1533-position model. The record is from RNAcentral.